Molecule: non-coding RNA, 1378 nt
Organism: Callithrix jacchus (white-tufted-ear marmoset)
Lineage: Eukaryota; Metazoa; Chordata; Mammalia; Primates; Cebidae
Source: RefSeq, a predicted model, not a curated record
GGAAUGUCUGGGCAGGGGCUGUAGAAUAGGAACAGCCCCCUCUCCCCCACACACAAUCCCUCAUGUGGUGACAGAGACCCCCUGAGGGGAUUGUGCAGAGGGUCUUGGUUCUUGGGUGGGCUGUGGAGCUGGGCACUCAGGGAAAGCUUUGCAUACCCACGAAGCUGCUAUCUCAGGCUCCUCUGGCAGGGAGUGUCAGGAUGAGAAUCCAGACCUGACGGCUACCCAGCCCUCUCACUUGCAGAUGCAAAAAUCCAGACUCAGAAAGGGAAGUAACUUCUCCAAUAGGGUGGGGUCUGACACCCAGGGCCCCCACCCCUGCCUACCUGGCCCUGCAGGGGCCUCCUGAGAGGUGUCUCAGGAGCAGACCCAGGGGCAGGGGGCACCAUGCACCCUUGUUGGAUAGGCAAAAGUCUUCCUGCUUCUUGGCAGCUGUGUGGUUUCAAAGCCCAGACAGCAGGGACUGAAAACUGAGCAAGCUACCCCUCUCCUGCCCCAGUUCCACCUCUCCUGUCCCCUUUUCCACCAAAGCUGAGAAAGGAGGGAUAGUGGAGACUCCAAAAAAACAGAAAAAAUUUAAACACACCACUAAGUAAAACAUUAUUAACUACCAUUGUGCUGAGCCCACAAACAGACUAACUCCUGGUCCCGCCCUACUGGAGCUGAAGCCACAGGCCUAUCAUCCCCAAGAGGCAGCAGUGCUCAGAUGUCCCACUUGAUGGCAAGCUCCUCCCAGGCGGCUGCGUUGAGGCUUUUCCCCAGAUAUAACAUGUCUAUGGGAGGAUUAUGACAUGGGCAGAUGAGAGUACCCAGCCAUGGAGGUGACAAUGUGCCUUAAAGCCUCACAGGGCAGCAGCCACCAGGAAGCAAGAUGGAGACCAGGAAGGUCCUGGAACACCAGAAUUUGGCCAACAGAGCCUGAGGGUGAACCCAGUUGCCUCCCCUUGGAACCGGAUGAAGCCCCAGAGGCACGUAGUCCUUUUUCCCAGACGGGGGUCCUGGUGCUGUUUCCCUGGGAAUGAGGCUUGAGCAUGAGCUCUCUGGGACCCAGCCCCCGACCAGAACUACGCAGUGCAUCCAGGCUUGAGGGAGGGACUGGAGCACCAGACACCCAAGGCUGCAACUUUGAAGAUUGGCCACUGCUGACAUCAUUGGCCACCCACCUGGGGCCAGAAAGAGCCCCUCUGCUGCCCCCAGAGCAUGGGUGAAGGGAUGAAUGCUCAGCCUACUGCCUCUUCUCAUACCAGGCCCAGCUGAUGGGAAUAUUUUGCGGAGAUAUUUCUAGAGCCAGUAGCAAUUAAAGCAUUUUCUCUUCCACUCCCCUUCCCCAAAACAAGAAUAAAUCAAUUUCCCAGCUAAUGAUUUCCUCCAUUAAAUU